GUGUGUGUGUUCUCAGAGGGAGAAAGAGAACACAUGGGGUGUGUAGGCGUAUACUGGCAAAGAACCACUCUCUUGACUCCUGGAUUUUAAAAAAAGCACGAAAUAUUGGAGGUACUGCCUUUUGCAGUCUAUAAGCACAAUCAACAUGAUCAACGUGACGAAAAUGAAAUUGUAAAUGAAACGUGCACAGAAUUGUAACACUGCAAACCCUCCACAGCUGUGAUGUGAAGUAUCGUAUGCUGUACACGACAACAAUGCAAUUUAGUUCAGGUCUGAGCAUUUCAUAAAUAGAAUGUCGAUGUUGAGGAUGUCAAUGUUCUCCAUCAAAAAGGUUGAUCCACAAAGAUUCCCGAUCGUCUUCAGAUGUUUGAGCUGCUGUAUUUGAAGAGAAUUGUGUUGGACUCUCAUAUGAGUCUCCCUCCAUCAGUAGUCAAGGCAGCACAUACAGUGUGGAGCAAAAUGAUUCAUCUUUUCAAGACAAUAUCUUUGUUAGACAACAGCCUUGACGGCCAGACAUCAAUUGUACACAAAGAGAUAUGACUCCCGAAGCCAUAGCAACGAAGGAGAAGUGUGAAUGCACAAGGAGCAAGGAGUGUGUGUGUGUGCGUGUAUGUAUGAAUAGAUAAAACACAAAGCAAGAGAGGCAUAUCUUUAAUGUGAACACACAAAUCAGUGCCCCCCUCAAGCCUCGCUUCUGUUGAAGAGCACAUGUUCUGAGCAGAGAAACAUUGUCGUUGGAUCAACAGGCAUUAUCAGAAUUCGACUGACAACAAGUGACCAUUUUGCCCAAUGACAGUGUUUUGUUUGACAGAUCCGGGGCUAAUUUUCGGUUGCCAGGCAAAACGCUGCUAAAACGCUAAGAAGAAGACGCCCUCAUUUUCUGAAGCACCUGGUGAGGGGGCUGUGAUCUUCAUGGAGGGCUCCAGGCUAAGUCAUGCCAGGGGUUGGUGUGACUGGCUCUUAACAGCAUCAAGAUGUGCCCUGGGUUGUCAUACAGCUGAAGUCACAAAGUGUGUUUUGGAAGUUCAACAAUGAUACAUUCAAAAAGUUAUUGAAAGAGUACUUUUUUUGCAGUGACUGGUGGUGUUACACAAUAUGAGUGAUCGACAAUGAGUCAUUUGAAUAAUAUGUCUUGUUAGACAUUGAUCUGCAUGAGUGAUUCUAGCCUGCUGUCCUGCCUACACCUGUACAUGUGUCGAACUUUGACUGAUCCUACAACAUUCAAUGUUCAGCCUUAAAGCCCACUCAUUUUAAGAGAAGAAGGAGAAGUGUCUUCAGUGAACAGAGGAGGAGCAGGAGGGAUGGAGAACAUGGGGCCACUCUCACACACACACACACACACACACACACACACACACACACACACACAAAAUCCCAGACGUGUUUCUAAUUCACCAGUGUAGAAAGGGAGAGAGAGAUGAAACCAUCUAAGCCUGUGGAUCAACACAACUAUGAAUAAAUAUAACCCACACCAAUGUAACAGUGCCUACUGCUGUCCACACACACACACCAUUCCAAAUCCUCCAAGGUAUUUCUAAAAUAGAUGACAGAAUCUUGUCCAAGGACCAGUUUGAGAUUAACUUCAGUGACAGAGAGAAAAAUCAAUUCUUCAUUUAGGCCAUGCAGUAAACAUUUAGUAUUCCAGCUCUGUUGUUUUACUCCAUCUCUAUCUAUCUAGCAGUUGCUAGAAUUGUAUGGCAACGUACAGCAGGGAGGCUUGCUGAACAGCUCGGAAGAAUCUUGGCUACCCACGCACACAUACACACACUUUCUGGCCAAGAGAAGAACUCGUGCUGAGCUGUGUUGUUGCCAGGGUAACGGAUGAGGAACAGGCGUUCGGGCAGUGAUGCUCUUGAUCUGGAGGAGUUUCAGGAGGGCUCUUAUUGGCCUCUCCACCGACAGCCACAAUCCCCUGCUGUGACUGAGUGGCCCUGUCACAGGAAGUUAGAGAGGGGUCAGAGGGCAAAUGCAACCUCCACCUCCAUGCAGUGGGAGAGCGAGAGGAAUCACAGGGAGAGAGGGAGAAAUAAAACAUUGUGACAAAGGAAAGGAACGAGAGAGAGCCCUUCCCCCAGGUUAACUCUCCUCUCAGAACCCGUAGUGCAGUUUCUCCUGUCUCUGUCUACCAUGUUCCCCCAGGUUAACUCUCCUCUCAGAACCCAUAGUGCAGUUUCUCCUGUCUCUGUCUACCAUGUUCCCCCAGGUUAACUCUCCUCUCAGAACCCGUAGUGCAGUUUCUCCCGUCUCUGUCUACCAUGUUCCCCCAGGUUAACUCUCCUCUCAGAACCCGUAGUGCAGUUUCUCCUGUCUCUGUCUACCAUGUUCCCCCAGGUUAACUCUCCUCUCAGAACCCGUAGUGCAGUUUCUCCUGUCUCUGUCUACCAUGUUCCCCCAGGUUAACUCUCCUCUCAGAACCCGUAGUGCAGUUUCUCCUGUCUCUGUCUACCAUGUUCCCCCAGGUUAACUCUCCUCUCAGAACCCGUAGUGCAGUUUCUCCUGUCUCUGUCUACCAUGUUCCCCCAGGUUAACUCUCCUCUCAGAACCCGUAGUGCAGUUCCUCCUGUCUCUGUCUACCAUGUUCCCCCAGGUUAACUCUCCUCUCAGAACCGGUAGUGCAGUUUCUCCUGUCUCUGUCUACCAUGUUCCCCCAGGUUAACUCUCCUCUCAGAACCCGUAGUGCAGUUUCUCCUGUCUCUGUCUACCAUGUUCCCCCAGGUUAACUCUCCUCUCAGAACCCGUAGUGCAGUUUCUCCUGUCUCUGUCUACCAUGUUCCCCCAGGUUAACUCUCCUCUCAGAACCCGUAGUGCAGUUUCUCCUGUCUCUGUCUACCAUGUUCCCCCAGGUUAACUCUCCUCUCAGAACCCGUAGUGCAGUUUCUCCUGUCUCUGUCUACCAUGUUCCCCCAGGUUAACUCUCCUCUCAGAACCCGUAGUGCAGUUUCUCCUGUCUCUGUCUACCAUGUUCCCCCAGGUUAACUCUCCUCUCAGAACCCGUAGUGCAGUUUCUCCUGUCUCUGUCUACCAUGUUCCCCCAGGUUAACUCUCCUCUCAGAACCCGUAGUGCAGUUCCUCCUGUCUCUGUCUACCAUGUUCCCCCAGGUUAACUCUCCUCUCAGAACCCGUAGUGCAGUUUCUCCUGUCUCUGUCUACCAUGUUCCCCCAGGUUAACUCUCCUCUCAGAACCCGUAGUGCAGUUUCUCCUGUCUCUGUCUACCAUGUUCCCCCAGGUUAACUCUCCUCUCAGAACCCGUAGUGCAGUUUCUCCUGUCUCUGUCUACCAUGUUCCCCCAGGUUAACUCUCCUCUCAGAACCCGUAGUGCAGUUCCUCCUGUCUCUGUCUACCAUGUUCCCCCAGGUUAACUCUCCUCUCAGAACCCGUAGUGCAGUUCCUCCUGUCUCUGUCUACCAUGUUCCCCCAGGUUAACUCUCCUCUCAGAACCCGUAGUGCAGUUUCUCCUGUCUCUGUCUACCAUGUUCCCCCAGGUUAACUCUCCUCUCAGAACCCGUAGUGCAGUUUCUCCUGUCUCUGUCUACCAUGUUCCCCCAGGUUAACUCUCCUCUCAGAACCCGUAGUGCAGUUUCUCCUGUCUCUGUCUACCAUGUUCCCCCAGGUUAACUCUCCUCUCAGAACCCGUAGUGCAGUUCCUCCUGUCUCUGUCUACCAUGUUCCCCCAGGUUAACUCUCCUCUCAGAACCCGUAGUGCAGUUU
This is a long non-coding RNA of Oncorhynchus keta (chum salmon), 3709 nucleotides long. RefSeq lists it as uncharacterized. The record is from RefSeq and is a predicted model, not a curated record. The transcript has 8 exons. NCBI's taxonomy places the organism in Eukaryota, Metazoa, Chordata, Actinopteri, Salmoniformes, Salmonidae.